RNAcentral lists this unclassified non-coding RNA (298 nucleotides) under uncultured fungus. Its description in RNAcentral is "partial contains small subunit ribosomal RNA, internal transcribed spacer 1, and 5.8S ribosomal RNA". The stretch from base 1 to 73 matches the Rfam family "Eukaryotic small subunit ribosomal RNA", at positions 1759 to 1831 of the family's 1831-position model. Lineage: Eukaryota; Fungi. The record is from RNAcentral.
ACAAACUUGGUCAUUUAGAGGAAGUAAAAGUCGUAACAAGGUCUCCGUUGGUGAACCAGCGGAGGGAUCAUUACCGAGUUCUCGCAACUCCCAACCCUGUGAACCAUACCACUGUUUCUGUUCUCGUUGCUUCCUGGCGGGCGGCCCCCCUUCUGGGGCGGCCUGCGCCUGCCAGGGGCGGCCUGCACAAACCUUCUUUUUUUUUUCGUACCCGAACCGUCUGAGCACUGAUUUUACAAAUCAAAUCAAAACUUUCAACAACGGAUCUCUUGGCUCUGGCAUCGAUGAAGAACGCAGC